This 1898-nucleotide ribosomal RNA is filed under the name Staphylococcus aureus DAR3236. RNAcentral's name for it is "bacterial LSU rRNA". It matches the Rfam family "Bacterial large subunit ribosomal RNA", at positions 1023 to 2925 of the family's 2925-position model. The record is from RNAcentral. Lineage: Bacteria; Bacillati; Bacillota; Bacilli; Caryophanales; Staphylococcaceae.
CAGCCCAGACCACCAGCUAAGGUCCCAAAAUAUAUGUUAAGUGGAAAAGGAUGUGGCGUUGCCCAGACAACUAGGAUGUUGGCUUAGAAGCAGCCAUCAUUUAAAGAGUGCGUAAUAGCUCACUAGUCGAGUGACACUGCGCCGAAAAUGUACCGGGGCUAAACAUAUUACCGAAGCUGUGGAUUGUCCUUUGGACAAUGGUAGGAGAGCGUUCUAAGGGCGUUGAAGCAUGAUCGUAAGGACAUGUGGAGCGCUUAGAAGUGAGAAUGCCGGUGUGAGUAGCGAAAGACGGGUGAGAAUCCCGUCCACCGAUUGACUAAGGUUUCCAGAGGAAGGCUCGUCCGCUCUGGGUUAGUCGGGUCCUAAGCUGAGGCCGACAGGCGUAGGCGAUGGAUAACAGGUUGAUAUUCCUGUACCACCUAUAAUCGUUUUAAUCGAUGGGGGGACGCAGUAGGAUAGGCGAAGCGUGCGAUUGGAUUGCACGUCUAAGCAGUAAGGCUGAGUAUUAGGCAAAUCCGGUACUCGUUAAGGCUGAGCUGUGAUGGGGAGAAGACAUUGAGUCUUCGAGUCGUUGAUUUCACACUGCCGAGAAAAGCCUCUAGAUAGAAAAUAGGUGCCCGUACCGCAAACCGACACAGGUAGUCAAGAUGAGAAUUCUAAGGUGAGCGAGCGAACUCUCGUUAAGGAACUCGGCAAAAUGACCCCGUAACUUCGGGAGAAGGGGUGCUCUUUAGGGUUAACGCCCAGAAGAGCCGCAGUGAAUAGGCCCAAGCGACUGUUUAUCAAAAACACAGGUCUCUGCUAAACCGUAAGGUGAUGUAUAGGGGCUGACGCCUGCCCGGUGCUGGAAGGUUAAGAGGAGUGGUUAGCUUCUGCGAAGCUACGAAUCGAAGCCCCAGUAAACGGCGGCCGUAACUAUAACGGUCCUAAGGUAGCGAAAUUCCUUGUCGGGUAAGUUCCGACCCGCACGAAAGGCGUAACGAUUUGGGCACUGUCUCAACGAGAGACUCGGUGAAAUCAUAGUACCUGUGAAGAUGCAGGUUACCCGCGACAGGACGGAAAGACCCCGUGGAGCUUUACUGUAGCCUGAUAUUGAAAUUCGGCACAGCUUGUACAGGAUAGGUAGGAGCCUUUGAAACGUGAGCGCUAGCUUACGUGGAGGCGCUGGUGGGAUACUACCCUAGCUGUGUUGGCUUUCUAACCCGCACCACUUAUCGUGGUGGGAGACAGUGUCAGGCGGGCAGUUUGACUGGGGCGGUCGCCUCCUAAAAGGUAACGGAGGCGCUCAAAGGUUCCCUCAGAAUGGUUGGAAAUCAUUCAUAGAGUGUAAAGGCAUAAGGGAGCUUGACUGCGAGACCUACAAGUCGAGCAGGGUCGAAAGACGGACUUAGUGAUCCGGUGGUUCCGCAUGGAAGGGCCAUCGCUCAACGGAUAAAAGCUACCCCGGGGAUAACAGGCUUAUCUCCCCCAAGAGUUCACAUCGACGGGGAGGUUUGGCACCUCGAUGUCGGCUCAUCGCAUCCUGGGGCUGUAGUCGGUCCCAAGGGUUGGGCUGUUCGCCCAUUAAAGCGGUACGCGAGCUGGGUUCAGAACGUCGUGAGACAGUUCGGUCCCUAUCCGUCGUGGGCGUAGGAAAUUUGAGAGGAGCUGUCCUUAGUACGAGAGGACCGGGAUGGACAUACCUCUGGUGUACCAGUUGUCGUGCCAACGGCAUAGCUGGGUAGCUAUGUGUGGACGGGAUAAGUGCUGAAAGCAUCUAAGCAUGAAGCCCCCCUCAAGAUGAGAUUUCCCAACUUCGGUUAUAAGAUCCCUCAAAGAUGAUGAGGUUAAUAGGUUCGAGGUGGAAGCAUGGUGACAUGUGGAGCUGACGAAUACUAAUCGAUCGAAGACUUAAUCAA